RNAcentral lists this small nuclear RNA (301 nucleotides) under Carlito syrichta (Philippine tarsier). RNAcentral describes it as "7SK RNA (ENSTSYG00000033174.1)". It matches the Rfam family "7SK RNA". Rfam says of the family: 7SK was discovered as an abundant small nuclear RNA in the mid-70s but a possible function has only recently been suggested. Two independent studies have found that 7SK RNA binds the CDK9/cyclin T complex (known as elongation factor P-TEFb). P-TEFb activates transcription by phosphorylating the C-terminal domain of RNA polymerase II. Lineage: Eukaryota; Metazoa; Chordata; Mammalia; Primates; Tarsiidae. The record is from Rfam by way of RNAcentral.
AGAUGUGAGGGUGAUCUGGCUGUGACAUCUGUCACCCCACUGAUCACCAGGGUUGAUUUGGCUGAUCUGGCUGGCUAGGCAAGUGUCUCUUUCCUUCCUCAUUGCUCCACAUGCCUCCCUCCCAAAGCUGUGGCUUGAUCGAAGAGGAGGACCAUCCCAUCCCCACUAGAAGAGGACCACUCUUUGGUCAAGGAAUAUGUAUUAGCAGCUGCACUCCUCUGCCAGAACCUCUAAACAAGUUCUCAAGGUUCAGAAGAGGGAAAACUAAGGUAUAGGGAAUCGAAAGCUGUGUGCUUUAUUU